Molecule: long non-coding RNA, 823 nt
Organism: Phascolarctos cinereus (koala)
Lineage: Eukaryota; Metazoa; Chordata; Mammalia; Diprotodontia; Phascolarctidae
Source: RefSeq, a predicted model, not a curated record
UCCCAAAAGAUCAAAAAAAAAGGAAAAACUAGCCUCUCCCCAAGCCCUCUUUCUGAUUCAUGUAUUUCCUUUCCAUUAAUCUAGAUUGCACAAUAAGCCAGACCUUGCAGGGUAAACCUGAAGUGGAGAGGGGAGUGAUUGCAAUGCCCUGACUUUAAAUUCUGAAAGCCUUAGGCUCAACUCUCUUUCCUGAACUUAGAACCCAUCAGUAACUACCCUCCCAUCAGUAGCCCCACCCCCACAAUCUCAACCAGGAGUGCUGGGAAUUUCUGAAAGGGGCCUCGUUUUGGCCUUGAGGGGAAAGCCAGCUGCAUCCAGGAUUUUCUCUCUGGGCCUCACCUGGUGGAAUUCAUCUGACACAAUAGACGAGGAACCUCUCCAACACUGAGCUGGUUCUGGCAAUAUACAAGUCAACCUCAUUAUCAAUGCGUACAUCCCUGGAAAGUAUACUGCCAAGUGGAGAUUGAUUAAUCAGUGUUCCAUGCCUGCCUGAGGGGCAGAGUUGUGAAGAGUUUGGAAGAAGAGAAAUCCUGAUCUUCUGCCUUCUGCUUCAAGAGAGAAGACACAUAGUUCUAGACCCUUUCCAGAUCCAUAAAAUGAGAAAAAAAGACCCUGGGGAAGAAGUUGACAUGUAGAGGAACAAACAUUUUGAUCAUGUCCCUCUCCCCAGAUUAUUACAUUACAGACUUCAGGGAAUUUCAUGUUGGGUGAGGUCAGGGACUUCUGCAUGACUCUUUUCCUGAAUCUUCCCUUUCCCUGAGUCUUCCCUUUCCCGGUUGUUAUUGCCCUCUCCCUCCUCAGGUUAUCUUGUAUGGUUAUCUGU